This 64-nucleotide microRNA precursor is filed under the name Strongylocentrotus purpuratus (purple sea urchin). RNAcentral's name for it is "Spu-Mir-29-P2_pre stem-loop". It matches the Rfam family "mir-29 microRNA precursor family", at positions 6 to 64 of the family's 70-position model. From Rfam's summary of the family: This family represents the microRNA (miRNA) precursors mir-29. Animal miRNAs are transcribed as ~70nt precursors and subsequently processed by the Dicer enzyme to give a ~22nt product. In this case the mature sequence comes from the 3' arm of the precursor. The record is from RNAcentral. Lineage: Eukaryota; Metazoa; Echinodermata; Echinoidea; Camarodonta; Strongylocentrotidae.
ACUGUUUUCUAUUGGUGCAUAGAGUCCUUGUUUUACUUCUUCUAGCACCAUGAGAAAGCAGUAU